GUACUUUUCUUCUCUUCCUGAAGAGAAAUAUCUAGAAGAAGUGAUUGGCCACCUUUGCAAAUGUGCCUUGGACCAGCCAUGGGUGUCUGAGAUGUAUCCUACUCAAUAAGGCUCUUUGACAAUGGCAGGAUCUGGGGACUGACACAGAAGGCUAUUCCCUGAAGCAAAAUGGAUUGAUCCAGAUGCAGAAAGCAAAACAGAUCAUCAUGAUGGAGACAUGGGUGUCGGCUGGAGGUAACCACAGAAUGUGGCUCUGAGGCUGUCUUCACUGAGAACACUAUGUGUCCGAGAGUGACCGCCAACCAUUCUUUCCUGGAGUGACCAGUCAUCCAGGGUACUGUCUCUUAUAUGUGACA
This is a long non-coding RNA of Prionailurus viverrinus (fishing cat), 356 nucleotides long. RefSeq lists it as uncharacterized. NCBI's taxonomy places the organism in Eukaryota, Metazoa, Chordata, Mammalia, Carnivora, Felidae. The record is from RefSeq and is a predicted model, not a curated record. The transcript has 3 exons.